GACGAACGCUGGCGGCGUGCCUAAUACAUGCAAGUCGAACGCUUCUUUCCUCCCGAGUGCUUGCACUCAAUUGGAAAGAGGAGUGGCGGACGGGUGAGUAACACGUGGGUAACCUACCCAUCAGAGGGGGAUAACACUUGGAAACAGGUGCUAAUACCGCAUAACAGUUUAUGCCGCAUGGCAUAAGAGUGAAAGGCGCUUUCGGGUGUCGCUGAUGGAUGGACCCUCGGUGCAUUAGCUAGUUGGUGAGGUAACGGCUCACCAAGGCCACGAUGCAUAGCCGACCUGAGAGGGUGAUCGGCCACACUGGGACUGAGACACGGCCCAGACUCCUACGGGAGGCAGCAGUAGGGAAUCUUCGGCAAUGGACGAAAGUCUGACCGAGCAACGCCGCGUGAGUGAAGAAGGUUUUCGGAUCGUAAAACUCUGUUGUUAGAGAAGAACAAGGACGUUAGUAACUGAACGUCCCCUGACGGUAUCUAACCAGAAAGCCACGGCUAACUACGUG
Molecule: ribosomal RNA, 508 nt
Filed under: uncultured bacterium
Lineage: Bacteria
Description: partial 16S ribosomal RNA
Rfam family: Bacterial small subunit ribosomal RNA
Source: RNAcentral